Molecule: long non-coding RNA, 1416 nt
Filed under: Homo sapiens (human)
Lineage: Eukaryota; Metazoa; Chordata; Mammalia; Primates; Hominidae
Description: HSALNT0170092
Source: RNAcentral
UGGCGUGGUCUGAUCAGGCCACUUUCCUCGUGUUGGUCUCUACAUCAGGGCACUGGCAUCUUUAGCAAGUGUUUUAGGAAACAGGUAACAUCAUCAACAAAAGCCAACAUGUCUGCUCUUGAUCAAGCACCUCCACAUAUAUUGAGACCCCUGACGCCCACAACAUCCUGUUAGAUACUGUAUCUCCGCCAUCCCAGGACAGUAUUUGUUAAAGGGCGUGGCAAACACUAGUGCCGCACGUGUCACCAAUGGUCACCAGCUCCAGAAGGCAAGUAAGAUGUGAGCAAAUUCCAUGAACACCAGAUGGCUUCAAGGGGCUUCCAGGUAAUUUGAAGGAAAAAAAGUUUAAGGACAGAAGAUGAUGCUGAAAAAAUAAAAUCAGCUCUAAACCACCCCAGCAUGCUGGGAGAGCCUGAUGUGCUCCACGAGGAGCCCCCAAAAGCCGAGGGGAACACAGGACACUUCCCCGAAGGCACAGGGGCCUGGUCCUGCCCCUGGGCCACUCCAGGUGCAUGCAUGGGAGGCGAUGGCUGGGCAGCUGUACAUCCACCUUUAGAGACACUAUCGGGUUUCCAAAGCGGCUGCACCAUUUUACACACCCACCAGCCAGGUGAACUGGACAUCUCUUCUGCUGGUUCCAUCUGGGUUCACCCAUGGGUGGGCCCCACUCUGCAAGAGGGUCCAUAGGGCUGGACCGUCCAGGUUACUGCUGGCAAUGGUCCUGCUGGUGGCUCUGUCCCUGCUUCAUUCAGGUUGCUCUUCUCCAGCCUCCCAUGGUCCCCUCCUCACGGCUCUCCCAGUGCUUCCUCAGCACCUUUCCAGCUUCCACCUGAUGCCUGCUUUGAAAACCAGGUCAAAGUUUCAGGUCUUGGAAGAAACCAUCACACCGAGGUCAUUUCUGAGCACAGCGUGGAAGCUCCUAUGUUUGCAGGAACUAAGUACUGCAACAUUCAAGAACCAUAAGCAUCAAGCCCCAUGCAAUUUACAAGGUGAACCUACCUGAAUCCUGAUCUGAAGUUCCAGCAGGCUCCCUCUGACCUCCUCCUAGUCACUAUCUCCCUGCUUGGAUUGAUUCCUUGGAGUGGAAUUAGUAAAAAGGAUAUGAAUAUUUUUAGUCUCUUGAUAUGUUAGACUGAUUUCCAGAAGGCUUGUACCAAUUUACUCUUCUACCGACAACUGUAAGAAUACCCUUCCUCCAUCAACAGCAUUGUGUAUUAGCUUUUAAGAAAAAUCUUUUCUAAUUUAAUAGGUUAAAAAAAUUCAUCUCAUUAUUUUAAUUUGAUAUGUAUUUUUAAAUGAGGUUGAAUAUAAUUUCCCAAGCUUAUUGAUCACUUUUAUUGUUCCCUUGUGAAUGGACUGUAAAUUUGCCUCUUUUUUCUUUAGGGUGUUCAUUGAGUGUUAUUGAUUUGCAAAAGC